RNAcentral lists this ribosomal RNA (337 nucleotides) under bacterium enrichment culture DGGE gel band G10. RNAcentral's name for it is "bacterial SSU rRNA". It matches the Rfam family "Bacterial small subunit ribosomal RNA", at positions 978 to 1315 of the family's 1533-position model. The record is from RNAcentral.
CUCUUGACAUCCCGGUGACGGCAGAGUAAUGUGCGCUUUUCUUCGGACCACCGGUGACAGGUGGUGCAUGGUUGUCGUCAGCUCGUGUCGUGAGAUGUUGGGUUAAGUCCCGCAACGAGGCCAACCCCUAUCUUCAGUAGCCACCGGUAAGGCCGGGCACUCUGGAGAGACUGCCAGGGAUAACCUGGAGGAAGGUGGGGAUGACGUCAAAUCAUCAUGCCCCUUAUGAGCAGGGCUACACACGUGCUACAAUGGCGUAAACAAAGGGAAGCGAACCCGCGAGGGUGGGCAAAUCCCAAAAAUAACGUCUCAGUUCGGAUUGUAGUCUGCAACUCGA